GCAAAGUUCUUUUAUUUUUGCAAAUUUCCCUUUGCUCUUUGUGAGCUUUGCUUGUAGUCAGUCGUCGAUCUCCAUGGACAAACCUAGUAAAAACCAGGUUUCGUUGAGAGGAGCGAGUGCGAAGGAGAUUACGCGGGAUGAUCUUCUUGAGAAGGUCUCCCAAGAAAGGGAGCUCCGGAAUUAUACGCGCCGGGCCAUGGCUGCCGCGAUCGUUAUCCAGAAAGUUUGGAGGAGCUACAAUGUGACGAAGAUAGCAGCUUUCCAGCUCCAAGAGGAGUGGAAAGUGAUGGUGGAAAGCAAUGCUCUUUCCAUAACCAGAUCAUGGGUUUCAAGCAGUUUAUUGAGGCCUUUUCUUUUCUUUGUUACUUGUUUAUCAACUCGUUGUCAGAAAAUAAGAUCCCAAGAUAUACAUUGUAUGCAGACUUGCUUCCGAAUUUUACUGGAAAGCUUGAACUCAACUGAUCCUCAGAAGAACUUUUGCUCCCUGGCAAUAGGUAAACUGGAAGAGAGAAGGGUGUGGAGUUAUCAAGCACGGAGGCUCAUUUCUCUAUGCUUGUUUAUUCUUGGACAGUGUGAUAAUUCUCACCCAGCCAAUCACGAUAUUGCUGCUCUUACCUCUCUGGCAAUACGUUUUGCUGUUGUAUUGACUGAUUUGAAGGGUUGGGGAAAAGGCACUAGUGAUAAUAAUGUUCACGAUGCGGAGAUAGCAGUGAAGGAUUUGGUUCAGUUUAUGGGAAGCAAGAACAGUGGACUGUACCAUAAUGUUAGAAGAUAUAUUGAAAAAUUGGAUGCUUCUUUUUCUUUGCAAAUGAAAGCAACAGAUGCGCAAUUCCUGAUCACUGCCAGUGCUCUAACUUUAGCUUUACGACCAAUUCAUGCUGCAAAUCUAAAUGAACUCAGUCAAUUAGAGGGGCAUUAUGCCACUGAGCAGUAUUGUGUGUUUCUGCUUACAAUCCCUUGGCUUGCUCAACGUCUACCAGUGGCACUCUUACCUGCUCUGCAGCACAAGGCUGUUCUAUCACCUUGCUUCAGGACAUUACUGAUUUUGAAAGACAAAAUUCUGAAGGAGAUUUUAGAGGUUGAUAAGGGGAAAGUUGUUUCUUAUUCCAAGACGAUGCCUCAAGUUGCUUGGCUUCUAGCUAAUGUUUUAUCCCUUGCAACAGUGAGUGAUUACAGUUCCUGGAUUCCUAGAAAGUUCACUGAAGGCCUAGACUACAUUUCCUAUGUUCAUGUUACUAUCAUUCUUUCAGAGAACUUACUAACUUGGUUUGAGAAUGCCGGAUGGAUAAAAAAUGAGAACCAAGAAUUCCAAACUAAUUUUGAAACUUCUGCAGAAUCUGAUACUCUUCUCUGUGGCACUCAGACAAAUUGUGGAUUCUUGAAAAUGUCAUACAUUGACUCUUUUAGGCCUGUUUAUCAGCAAUGGCAUCUCAUGAAACUAUCAGCCUUGGAGAAAGAUGCUUUUGAUUAUGACAUUGAUAAUCAGAUGCCAAAAAAUAUGGAAUCUUUUGGGAAGUGUGAUCUGCUUGAUGUUGCAUAUUAUUAUUCUUAUAUACUAAGAAUAUUUUCGGCUCUGAAUCCUGUGGUUGGGUCAUUGCCCGUUCUCAAUAUGCUCGCUUUUACUCCAGGAUUUCUUGUCAAUCUAUUGAGAGCACUGGAAAGAUCCAUGUUUCCUGGAAAAAGUGAUGUUGCCAAGGAUAAUUUUCUCUCUGGAAAUAGAACUUCCAGAAACAAGGAUGAUGGGGUAAGUGAGAGAAAGCAAAAACGGGUUACUAAGGACGGUGCCAAUAAAUUAGCUGCCGUGUUAUAUAAAAUCACUGGUAAAGGAAAUGUUGGUUAUACAGGUGCAGUAGAUCAACCUACACCUAAUUGGGUUGAAGAAGAUUCUUCUGAUGUAUGGGAUAUAGAGCCUUUGAGGCAGGGUCCAGAAGGUAUAUCGAAAGAUACUUCUUGUCUACUUCAUCUAUUCUGCGCUUCUUAUUCACACCUGCUGUUAGUUCUUGAUGACAUAGAGUUCUAUGAGAAACAGGUUCCUUUCACUUUGGAGGAGCAACGUAGAAUUGCAUCAAUGCUUAAUACAUUAGUGUAUAAUGCCCUGUCUCAUAGUAUCCGCCAGCAGAGUAGACCUCUUAUGGAUGCUGCAAUUCGAUGUCUGCAUCUAUUGUAUGAAAGGGAUUGUAGGCAUCAGUUUUGUCCCCCAGCUUUGUGGCUUUCACCUGCUAGAGAGAAUCGGCCCCCGAUUGCUGUAGCUGCCAGAACUCAUGAAGUUUUAUAUGCUACUCCAAGAUUGGAUGAAACUUUGACCUUUCCAAGCAUGGGUUCUGUCAUCACCACUACCCCAUACGUCUUUCCAUUUGAAGAAAGAGUUCAAAUGUUCAGAGAAUUUAUCAAUAUGGACAAAGCAUCCCGAAGAAAGGCAGGUGAAAUGCUUGGACCUGGUUCACGAGCAGUUGAGAUAGUAAUUCGUCGUGGUCAUAUUGUUGAAGAUGGUUUUCAACAAUUGAAUUCUCUUGGAUCAAGGCUGAAAUCUGGCAUCCAUGUCUCCUUUGUUAGUGAAUCUGGUCUUCCAGAGGCGGGCCUGGACUAUGGUGGGUUAUCUAAGGAGUUUUUGACUGAUAUAGCAAAAGCAGCCUUUGCUCCCGAGUAUGGACUAUUCUCUCAGACCUCAACUUCAGACAGACUUCUAAUUCCUAAUACAGCUGCAAGAUUUUUGGAGCAUGGUCUCCAGAUGAUUGAGUUUCUUGGAAGAGUUGUUGGAAAAGCACUUUAUGAAGGAAUAUUGUUAGAUUAUUCUUUUUCACAUGUUUUCGUACAAAAGUUGUUAGGUCGCUACAGCUUUCUUGAUGAACUAUCCACACUUGACCCCGAGGUCUACAGAAAUCUCAUGUAUGUUAAGCAUUAUGAUGGUGAUGUGGAGGGGCUCUGUCUGGAUUUCACUGUUACAGAAGAAUCUCUUGGUCAAAGACAUAUUAUUGAGCUUAAACCAGGUGGCAAGGAUGUGUAUGUGACAAAUGAGAACAAAUUGCAGUACAUUCAUGCAAUUGCAGACUAUAAACUUAAUCGGCAGAUAUUACCUUUCUCAAAUGCUUUCUAUAGAGGGUUGACAGAUCUUAUUGCCCCAUCUUGGUUGAAGUUGUUCAAUGCGAGUGAAUUUAAUCAGUUGCUCUCAGGUGGGAAACAUGACAUUGAUGUACAUGACUUGAGAAAUAACACAAGAUACACUGGUGGAUAUACUGAAGGGAGUCGUACCAUUAAAAUAUUUUGGGAGGUUAUCUCAGAAUUUGAACCAAAAGAGCGAUGCAUGCUUGUUAAGUUUGUGACAAGUUGUUCUCGAGCUCCUUUACUUGGAUUCAAAUACUUGCAGCCAACAUUUACCAUUCAUAAGGUUGCAUGUGAUAUGCCACUUUGGGCAACUUUUGGAGGACAGGACGUGGAGCGACUUCCAUCAGCUUCUACAUGCUACAAUACUCUCAAGCUUCCAACAUACAAACGAGCUAGUACUCUGAGAGCCAAGCUUCUCUAUGCUAUCAAUUCUAAUGCAGGGUUCGAGCUUUCAUAGAAGUUCCAAGAAAUUACUAAGGUCAAGGAGAGGCUGAUAGAUAUCAAAGACAACAAGUUUGAGACCAGGAAGCUUGCUGUGCAAGUAUUGUGAUGUGCUCUUUAGCUUAUUUUUUAAGGAAACUGCAUCUCGGUUCAGACUCUCAACACAUUGGUUGCUCCCUGAGCCAAAUAGUGUGAUAGCUGCUGGCAAGCAUCCAGUUGGUGGUAAGGUUGUAACUCCAAUCUUCCUUCCUCCCAGGCCAUAGAGAGUCUGUUGAAAAGGUAGGAUUUGAUGUGAAAAAUGCUCAUGCUGUUCGUCUUUGGAGUUUGUACAUAAUGGAGUUUUCUAUCAAGAUUGUGUAAAACCAUUUCAAAUUAGAAAUUUGUGUGACUGGUCAAGUGUUUCAUGGUUGACA
This is an RNA transcript of Diospyros lotus (date-plum), 3956 nucleotides long. It is a transcript of the gene named E3 ubiquitin-protein ligase UPL7, with no coding region annotated. The record is from RefSeq and is a predicted model, not a curated record. The transcript has 16 exons. NCBI's taxonomy places the organism in Eukaryota, Viridiplantae, Streptophyta, Magnoliopsida, Ericales, Ebenaceae.